UGAGACCUUGAUGCCUCUUUGUUGGUCAAA
RNAcentral lists this non-coding RNA (30 nucleotides) under Rattus norvegicus (Norway rat). Lineage: Eukaryota; Metazoa; Chordata; Mammalia; Rodentia; Muridae. The record is from RNAcentral.